UCCCGCAACGAGCGCAACCCUUGAUCUUAGUUGCCAGCAUUCAGUUGGGCACUCUAAGGUGACUGCCGGUGACAAACCGGAGGAAGGUGGGGAUGACGUCAAAUCAUCAUGCCCCUUAUGACCUGGGCUACACACGUGCUACAAUGGACGGUACAAAGGGCAGCCAACCCGCGAGGGGGAGCCAAUCCCAGAAAACCGUUCUCAGUUCGGAUUGCAGGCUGCAACUCGCCUGCAUGAAGCCGGAAUCGCUAGUAAUCGUGGAUCAGCAUGCCACGGUGAAUACGUUCCCGGGCCUUGUACACAC
This 304-nucleotide ribosomal RNA is filed under the name uncultured bacterium. RNAcentral describes it as "bacterial SSU rRNA". It matches the Rfam family "Bacterial small subunit ribosomal RNA", at positions 1085 to 1390 of the family's 1533-position model. The record is from RNAcentral.